UGUAUGGAUAUAUAAAUAGUAUCGAGUUUUUUAAAUUGCUUUAAAUUAUUUACAAGAAAGUAAACCAGAGAAAGUGUGCAGACGCAGUUGAAGGAUUUCCAUCAUUUAAAAAAUUAUAUUUUUUGAAAUAACUUUUUGUUGCAGAUUUUAUACAUCAAGCAGAAGUACUUUAAAGUUCAAUUUGAAGACAAGGGUAAUGCAGGGCAACUACAAAAUUCAACGUAGGUAAUGCAGAGCUACUCCGAUGAAAAGCGACAUGAUGCAGAGUCGCAAUGCUUUUUUGUUCCUCCGGCCUCCAAAAUUGCAAAACCUUAUUGGAAAAAGUAUGUAAAAAGAAAAAAUAUAGUAAAUACAUAAUGCUUAGUACAUAUCGAUAACAAAGUGCGAUCUUUAUGUAAUCAAGAUACAAAAGCUGGCGUCAGAUUUCUUCAAGCAUAAGAUACUCAAGGAAUCCAGGGAUGAGGUACAACGAUAUAAAUCAAUGAAAACAAUAACAAAUACAUAUAUUUCUCGAAAUGUGAUACACUUUUACGUAGGUGGUCGUAUUUUAAUUCUCACAUGUUCUGUUUUCGUUUCAAUGGAUCGGAUGGCGUGUCAUUACGGACGCGGCGACGUCAUCUAAAUUCUUCCAUUUCUUCAUCUCUUUUUUUGUAUUUUUUUUUUGUUUAAAUCAAUUUUUCCUCCCUCUAAUCAUCGUCAUUAAUUCUAAUUGGAGCAAAGCUGUCGGUUAUGUCUAUCGUGUUUCUAAUUCUCUACGAUUUUCAUUAUGGUUUCCCUUUACUAACCUCUGACUCUGUGUGUGUGUGUGUGUGUGUGUGUGUGUGUGUGUGUUUGUGUGUGUACGCGCAAAGGCACGAACACGUGUAUUCUUUUGUUUUUGCAUCAUCGACCAUGCUAUUGCGCUUCUCGUUUGUCGCAUAUUAUUGAAUCGUGCCGACAUCCAAGAUCGGUCACUUAGGAAGCUAUGACGUAUUUAAUUAAUAGCAACUUGUACUAGAAGGUACUUAUAGAAAUAUGGAUUUUCGAGAAACAUGAACGAGUGUCUCUUUUUCUCUCGGUUUUACAAAUCUGACAACUAAUUUUGUCGCCUAUCGCAGCAAUCGGGAAACAAUUCAGAAUCCCUGCCUGCUUCUCCUUUUUUUUCUUCUUGAUUUUCUGUUUUUCCUUUGCAAUUUCUAUACGCUCAAGGUUACGACGCAGAGAUACAAAAAGGUUCUUUCUCGCUGGUGUGGGGAAAUUUCUGUCCGUUGUGUACGUCCAACCAUAGACUCGACGCGCUUGAAUAGUCUUUGAUACAAUUUAUAUAACAUUUCGAUGAAUUCUCUUUAUAGUUUUUGGUUAGGCUGCAUAAUACAAGAAAUGGCGCGCGCGCGCGCGCGUGUGUGUGCGUGGGCGUGUGUAUAUAUGCUACGUGACAAUUAAAUUUAAACAAUGAGUGUCGAUCGUCAUUAUGAUGCUGUCCAUUAGGGAUGUUUGAUUCCGAAUCGAAUUUCUAGAAACUCGAUCUUUCUUACAAUUAGAUGAUUAUCAACUUUUCAAAUUGAUUAGCAUUAUAUUAUACUACCCCCAAUUUUAACGGAAGAUCGGUUCCUUAGAGUAUCGUAAAUUUCUUUUGAUAUGACAAAACUCAUAGAAUGUUUAAUCAUAUUUCUAAAAUAAUAAUUAUUCAUCACUAAUCAAUUAGCUAUAAAAUUUGUAAAGUUUAGUGUAAAAAGACGCACAAAAUGUGCACUUUUCUACAGUGAAUGCUUUUUCUGUGCAAUAAACGGGAAUCCCCUCUUUUAAGGUUUAAUACCAGUGUUACCAAAUUAACGUAAAAUUUUUGUUUUUAAAUCUUUAUUUUUGGAAAUCUGUUAUUUUGGAAAUUGUGUAAAAGAAGACCAUGUAAAACGGGAGAUAAGUAUACUGGACAGUUGCAACCGAAUAUUAUC
Molecule: long non-coding RNA, 1931 nt
Organism: Hylaeus anthracinus
Lineage: Eukaryota; Metazoa; Arthropoda; Insecta; Hymenoptera; Colletidae
Exons: 2
Source: RefSeq, a predicted model, not a curated record